Molecule: small nuclear RNA, 320 nt
Filed under: Saimiri boliviensis boliviensis (Bolivian squirrel monkey)
Lineage: Eukaryota; Metazoa; Chordata; Mammalia; Primates; Cebidae
Description: 7SK RNA (ENSSBOG00000000831.1)
Rfam family: 7SK RNA
About the family: 7SK was discovered as an abundant small nuclear RNA in the mid-70s but a possible function has only recently been suggested. Two independent studies have found that 7SK RNA binds the CDK9/cyclin T complex (known as elongation factor P-TEFb). P-TEFb activates transcription by phosphorylating the C-terminal domain of RNA polymerase II.
Source: Rfam by way of RNAcentral
GGAUAUGAGGGCAAUCUAGCUGCAACAUCUGUCACCCCAUUGAUCACCAGGGUUGAUUUGGCUGAUCUGGCUGGCUAGGCAAGUGUCCCCUUCCUCUCUCACUGCUUCAUGUGUGUCCCUGCCGAAACUGCAUGCCUUGUUGAAAAGGAUGACCAUCCCCAGUAGAGGAGGACCAAGGUCAAGGAUAUACGAGCAGCUGUACUCCCUUGCCAGAACCUCCAAAUAAGCUCUCAAGAACUCUCAUAACUCAAUAGCAAAGGAAAAUAACUAGUUUACAAAGUGGCCAAAGGAUUAAAAUAGACACUUAAGUAUGCCUAUUU